GACGAACGUUGGCGGCGUGCUUAAUACAUGCAAGUCAACUGAAGCAGUGGUAGCAAUAUCGCUGUGGAGGUGGCGCACGGGGGAGUAACACGUAGGUAAUCUGCCUUCAGUUCUGGCAUAACUCCUGGAAACCGCGGCUAAUAGCAGAUGAUGCAGUGUCUCGACAUCGAGUCCGUUGUUAAAGCUAUGGCUUCUGAAGACGUGCCUGCGUCUGAUUAGCUAGUUGGCGGGGUAACGACGCACCAAGGCAACGAUCAGUAGCUGGUCUGAGAGGAUGAGCAGGAACACUGAAACGGAGACACGGUCCAGACUACGACGGGAGGCAGCAGUAAGGAAUAUGGCUGAAUGGGAGAAAUCCUGAAGCAGCAACGGCGCGGGAGGGACGAAGAGCUUUUGCUUGUAAUCCUCUGUAGUGAGAGAAGAAAAACCCACUAUUCGGGACAUGAUGGUAUCUCAAAAGAAAGCCCCGGCUAACUACGUG
This 481-nucleotide ribosomal RNA is filed under the name uncultured bacterium. RNAcentral describes it as "partial 16S ribosomal RNA". It matches the Rfam family "Bacterial small subunit ribosomal RNA", at positions 28 to 507 of the family's 1533-position model. The record is from RNAcentral.